AAAGGGCACUCUGAUGGGACUGCCGGUGACAAACCGGAGGAAGGUGGGGAUGACGUCAAGUCCUCAUGGCCCUUAUAGGUGGGGCUACACACGUCAUACAAUGGCCGGUACAAAGGGCAGCCAACCCGCGAGGGGGAGCCAAUCCCAUAAAGCCGGUCGUAGUCCGGAUCGCAGUCUGCAACUCGACUGCGUGAAGUCGGAAUCGCUAGUAAUCGUGGAUCAGCAUGUCACGGUGAAUACGUUCCCGGGUCUU
RNAcentral lists this ribosomal RNA (253 nucleotides) under uncultured Hydrogenophaga sp. RNAcentral's name for it is "partial 16S ribosomal RNA". It matches the Rfam family "Bacterial small subunit ribosomal RNA", at positions 1130 to 1382 of the family's 1533-position model. Lineage: Bacteria; Pseudomonadati; Pseudomonadota; Betaproteobacteria; Burkholderiales; Comamonadaceae. The record is from RNAcentral.